This 336-nucleotide ribosomal RNA is filed under the name uncultured Pseudomonadota bacterium. RNAcentral's name for it is "bacterial SSU rRNA". It matches the Rfam family "Bacterial small subunit ribosomal RNA", at positions 28 to 351 of the family's 1533-position model. The record is from RNAcentral. Lineage: Bacteria; Pseudomonadati; Pseudomonadota.
GACGAACGCUGGCGGCGUGCCUAACACAUGCAAGUCGAACGGAGACGAUAGCAAUAUUGUCUUAGUGGCGGACGGGUGAGUAACGCGUGGGUAACCUGCCCUUAAAUCUGGGAUAACUUCGCGAAAGCAUUGCUAAUACCGGAUAUUAUUCCUGAGACUGUGGUCUUGGGAAUGAAAGGUGACCUCUUCAUGAAAGUUGCUGUUUAGGGAGGGGCUCGCGUACCAUUAGCUUGUUGGUAGGGUAAUGGCCUACCAAGGCGACGAUGGUUAGCUGGUCUGAGAGGAUGGCCAGCCACACUGGAACUGAAACACGGUCCAGACUCCUACGGGAGGCAG